This 111-nucleotide long non-coding RNA is filed under the name Sus scrofa (pig). Its description in RNAcentral is "lncRNA (ENSSSCG00065030121.1)". The record is from RNAcentral. Lineage: Eukaryota; Metazoa; Chordata; Mammalia; Artiodactyla; Suidae.
CACAACACUGAGUAGCAUAAUGGAAGUCCUAACAGAGUCACUGAAGUUCUGAUGUGCAUUUCAGCAAGUUCACUGUCUGCUUUUGGAGAAGGGGUAAAGCAACUGGCGAGG